Long non-coding RNA from Poecile atricapillus (Black-capped chickadee), 612 nucleotides. RefSeq lists it as uncharacterized. The transcript has 3 exons. Lineage: Eukaryota; Metazoa; Chordata; Aves; Passeriformes; Paridae. The record is from RefSeq and is a predicted model, not a curated record.
CCUCGGGAAGAUCCCUUGGGAAGAUUUUUCCAGGAAAUCUUUGGGAUUUAUUGGCUCUGGGGCGGGAAAUCCUGAACGGAUCCCGGGAUCCCAAACCCCGAUCCCACAAAUCCAGCCAGGGAGGGAGAGGAGGACGGGGAACGGUCCUGGAGGACAUGGGGAGGUCCUGGAGAACAUGGGGAGGCUCUGGAGAACACCAGGAGGUCUUGGAGGACACCAGGAGGUUCUGAAGGACAUGGGGAGGUCCUGGGGGAUCCCAGGAGGUCCUGGAGGAUCCCAGCAGGUUCUGGGGGACAUGGGAAAGUUCUGGAGAACAUCAAGGAGCUCUGGAAGGUUCUGGAGAUCACUGGGGAGACCAUGGGAGGUUCUGGAAGGUUCUGGAGAACACGGGGGAGCCAUGGGAGGUUCUGGAGAACAUCGAGGAGCCCUGGAAAGUUCUGGAGAACACGGGGAAGCCAUGGGAGCUUCUGGAAAGUUCUGGAGAACACGGGGGAGCCGUGGGAGCCGUGGGAGGUUCUGGAGAACACGGAGGAGCCCUGGAAGGUUCUGGAAGGUUCUGGAGAACACGGAGGAGCCCUGGAGGUCCCCGGAGGCGGCGGGGCGGUGGCCGCG